UAGGGAAUCUUCUGCAAUGGACGAAAGUCUGACCGAACAACGCCGCGUGAGUGAAGAAGGUUUUCGGAUCGUAAAACUCUGUUGUUAGAGAAGAACAAGGACGUUAGUAACUGAACGUCCCCUGACGGUAUCUAACCAGAAAGCCACGGCUAACUACGUGCCAGCAGCCGCGGUAAUACGUAGGUGGCAAGCGCUGACCGGAUUCGUUGGACGUAAAGCGAGCGCAGGCGGUUUCUUAAGUCUGAUAUGAAAGCCCCCGGCUCAACCGGGGAGGGUCAUUGGAAACUGGAGUGCUUGAGUGCAGAGGAGGAGGGUGGACUUCCAUAUGUAGCGGUGAAAUACGUAGAUAGAUGGAGGAACGCGAGUGGCGAAGGCGGCUCUCUGGUCUGUAACUGACGCUGAGGCUCGAAAGCGUGGGGAGCAAACAGG
Molecule: ribosomal RNA, 429 nt
Filed under: Gemmatimonadota bacterium
Lineage: Bacteria; Pseudomonadati; Gemmatimonadota
Description: Gemmatimonadetes bacterium partial 16S ribosomal RNA
Rfam family: Bacterial small subunit ribosomal RNA
Source: RNAcentral